Molecule: ribosomal RNA, 253 nt
Filed under: uncultured bacterium
Lineage: Bacteria
Description: partial 16S ribosomal RNA
Rfam family: Bacterial small subunit ribosomal RNA
Source: RNAcentral
UACGGAGGGUGCAAGCGUUGUUCGGAAUCACUGGGCGUAAAGCGCGUGUAGGCGGUUCGCUAAGUCCGAUGUGAAAUCCCGGGGCUUACCCCCGGAAGUGCAUCGGAUACUGGCGGACUAGAGUACCGGAGAGGAGGACGGAAUUCCUGGUGUAGCGGUGAAAUGCGUAGAUAUCAGGAGGAACACCGGUGGCGAAGGCGGUCCUCUGGACGGAUACUGACGCUGAGACGCGAAAGCGUGGGGAGCAAACAGG